AACGAACGCUGGCGGCAGGCCUAACACAUGCAAGUCGAGCGAGGACUUCGGUUCUAGCGGCGGACGGGUGAGUAACGCGUGGGAAUGUGCCCUUCUCUACGGAAUAGCCCUGGGAAACUGGGAGUAAUACCGUAUACGCCCUUUUGGGGAAAGAUUUAUCGGAGAAGGAUCAGCCCGCGUUGGAUUAGGUAGUUGGUGGGGUAAUGGCCUACCAAGCCGACGAUCCAUAGCUGGUUUGAGAGGAUGAUCAGCCACACUGGGACUGAGACACGGCCCAGACUCCUACGGGAGGCAGCAGUGGGGAAUCUUAGACAACGGGGGCAACCCUGAUCUAGCCAUGCCGCGUGAGUGAUGAAGGCCUUAGGGUUGUAAAGCUCUUUCAGCUGGGAAGAUAAUGACGGUACCAGCAGAAGAAGCCCCGGCUAACUCCGUG
Molecule: ribosomal RNA, 433 nt
Filed under: uncultured bacterium
Lineage: Bacteria
Description: partial 16S ribosomal RNA
Rfam family: Bacterial small subunit ribosomal RNA
Source: RNAcentral